CUAUCUGUUCUUCAUGAGUUUUAGAUAAUUUUAGUUGUAUUUCUUUGUAAUUUUGUGUUGUACAAAGAUUAAUUUAACAUUUUCUCUGGAAGUAUUAAUUUAGAAAGAUAAUAUGCUUCAUUGGUGUUGUGUUUUUAAGUGUGAAAUGCAAAGUAAUUGUGAUAAAGUCAAGAUAAAGUUCACUUUUAAACUGAACUAAAUAAGGUAUCUGAGAGACAACAAUGGUUAAAUGCAAUACAAUGUACAGGUUUUACUAGCGAAAUGAAAAUUUUCCUGUCCUGUCUGCUGUAAUCAUUUUAUAUCUGGUAAGUUACAAUUACAACAGUAACGAUUUUUGAAGAUGUUAACAUUUUAAUCUUAUAGGAAAAUAGGAAAACCAGCCGACUUAAUCGAUAAUAACAAUCUCCAGAUUGGGUUCCUUCAAUAAAUAUGGGCUAUAAACACAAUGAAAUAAGUUCCCCAAAAUCUAAAAUGGAGUGGUAUCAAAGGAGAAUUAAAGGAAAGAAUAUUCAUAUUGAAAUUAUUUAUAAGGCACUGGACUGUCUUAAAUUCUACAAUAAUACUAGAAUCAGCUGAGAGAAGUGGUUUACAAAAAACCAGGAAGGAAACGGAAUAUGUGGCUACGAAAGGCAAAAGAAAGGUUUACAAAGCAAAUGUGACACAUUUUUUUGAAAUAUUUAGGAAUAUCAGUAAAUUGCAUUAAAAAAAUGUAUGAAAAGAUUUUGUUCAAUAAAAAUGUUUAUAUUUA
Molecule: long non-coding RNA, 748 nt
Organism: Diabrotica virgifera virgifera (western corn rootworm)
Lineage: Eukaryota; Metazoa; Arthropoda; Insecta; Coleoptera; Chrysomelidae
Exons: 2
Source: RefSeq, a predicted model, not a curated record